Molecule: ribosomal RNA, 481 nt
Filed under: uncultured bacterium
Lineage: Bacteria
Description: partial 16S ribosomal RNA
Rfam family: Bacterial small subunit ribosomal RNA
Source: RNAcentral
AUUGAACGCUGGCGGCAUGCCUUACACAUGCAAGUCGAACGGUAACAGGUCUUCGGAUGCUGACGAGUGGCGAACGGGUGAGUAAUACAUCGGAACGUGCCCAGACGUGGGGGAUAACGAGGCGAAAGCUUUGCUAAUACCGCAUACGAUCUAAGGAUGAAAGCAGGGGACCGCAAGGCCUUGCGCGUUUGGAGCGGCCGAUGGCAGAUUAGGUAGUUGGUGGGAUAAAAGCUUACCAAGCCGACGAUCUGUAGCUGGUCUGAGAGGACGACCAGCCACACUGGAACUAGGACACGGCCCAGACUCCUAGGGGAGGCAGCGGGGGGGAAUUUUGGACAAUGGGCGAAAGCCUGACCCAGAAAUGCCGCGUGCAGGAUGAAGGCCUUCGGGUUGUAAACUGCUUUUGUAGGGAACAAAAAGGCUCUGGCUAAUACCUGGGGCAAAUGACGGUACCGUAAGAAUAAGCACCGGCUAACUACGU